GAAACGCGAUAAUUAAUGUGAAUUGCAGAAUUCAGUGAAUCAUCGAGUCUUUGAACGCACAUUGCGCCCCCUGGUAUUCCGGGGGGCAUGCCUGUCCGAGCGUCAUUGCUGCCCUCAAGCACGGCUUGUGUGUUGGGCUUCCGUCCCUGGCAACGGGGACGGGCCCAAAAGGCAGUGGCGGCACCAUGUCUGGUCCUCGAGCGUAUGGGGCUUUGUCACCCGCUCCCGUAGGUCCAGCUGGCAGCUAGCCUCGCAACCAAUCUUUUUAACCAGGUUGACCUCGGAUCAGGUAGGGAUACCCGCUGAACUUAAGC
This 314-nucleotide unclassified non-coding RNA is filed under the name plant metagenome. RNAcentral's name for it is "partial contains 5.8S ribosomal RNA, internal transcribed spacer 2, and large subunit ribosomal RNA". The stretch from base 1 to 105 matches the Rfam family "5.8S ribosomal RNA", at positions 50 to 154 of the family's 154-position model. The record is from RNAcentral.